AACAACUCACCUGCCGAAUGAAUCAGCCCUGAAAAUGGAUGGCGCUUAAGCGGGCGACCGACACCAUGCCGUCUGUACAAGAUGAAUGUUUACAGAUGAGUAGGAGGACGUGGCGGUCGUGUCGAAGCAUGCGUGCGAACGCGUGUGGAACGGCCGCUAGUGCAGAUCUUGGUGGUAGUAGCAAAUAUUCAAGCGAGAUCCUUGAAGGGCGAAGCGGGGAAGGGUUCCACGCAAACAUUGAUUGGGCGUGGGUGAGUCGUUCCUAAGCCGAGUGGCAAUUGCUAAGUAGCGGCGAAAGGGAAGCAGGUUGACAUUCCUGCACACGGAUGUGGAGGCGGUGACGCUUUAAUGAGGGCGAAGACGCUGGCGAUGGCGCUGGGCAGAGAUUUCUUUUCUGUUUGACCGCUGAAGCGCSCGGUGUGGAAUCCGCUUGUCGGGAGAAACACGCGCGUUCGGGCAGAGCGCCGGGGCUAUUCCGGCGUCCAGCUCGCCAUCGACGGCCCUUGAAAAUUUGCCUGCUGGAAUAGUUUUUUUAUUCUAUGAAGAUCCACGCCGUGGCGUACCGAUAACCGCAUCAGGUCCCCAAGGUGAACAGCCUCUGCUCUAUAUGAAUAAU
Molecule: ribosomal RNA, 616 nt
Filed under: Grateloupia hawaiiana
Lineage: Eukaryota; Rhodophyta; Florideophyceae; Halymeniales; Halymeniaceae
Description: eukaryotic LSU rRNA
Rfam family: Eukaryotic large subunit ribosomal RNA
Source: RNAcentral